RNAcentral lists this ribosomal RNA (497 nucleotides) under uncultured bacterium. Its description in RNAcentral is "partial 16S ribosomal RNA". It matches the Rfam family "Bacterial small subunit ribosomal RNA", at positions 28 to 507 of the family's 1533-position model. The record is from RNAcentral.
GACGAACGCUGGCGGCGUGCCUAAUACAUGCAAGUAGAACGCUGAAGAGAGGAGCUUGCUCUUCUUGGAUGAGUUGCGAACGGGUGAGUAACGCGUAGGUAACCUGCCUUGUAGCGGGGGAUAACUAUUGGAAACGAUAGCUAAUACCGCAUAACAAUGGAUGACACAUGUCAUUUAUUUGAAAGGGGCAAUUGCUCCACUACAAGAUGGACCUGCGUUGUAUUAGCUAGUAGGUGAGGUAAUGGCUCACCUAGGCGACGAUACAUAGCCGACCUGAGAGGGUGAUCGGCCACCCUGGGACUGGGACACGGCCCAGACUCCUACGGGAGGCAGCAGUAGGGAAACUUCGGCAAUGGGGGCAACCCUGACCGAGCAACGCCGCGUGAGUGGAGAAGGUUUUCGGAUCGUAAAGCUCUGUUGUAAGUCAAGAACGGGUGUGAGAGUGGAAAGUUCACACUGUGACGGUAGCUUACCAGAAAGGGACGGCUAACUACGUG